RNAcentral lists this long non-coding RNA (768 nucleotides) under Ovis aries (sheep). RNAcentral's name for it is "lncRNA (ENSOARG00000025271.1)". The record is from RNAcentral. Lineage: Eukaryota; Metazoa; Chordata; Mammalia; Artiodactyla; Bovidae.
AUGUGGGACAACACCCCCCUUCCUCCCGCCUGCCUGUUUUCUGGGUUGGGGGAGCGCCCAGGCGGGGCAAAGGGGAAAGGCACAUUUCCAAGUGUCCGCUCCCGAGGUGCGGGCCCUGGGUCCAGCCCGCAACGCCGCUCGGCUUCUCCACCCACACAGCGGCCGCCCCGCAGCGGGAAGCUUCUCCGCGUGACCAGGCGACCCGGCGCUGGACAUCUGCUUCUCCCCAACCUGGUGAGGCCGCGAUCGGCCCGGGAUCUCCGAUCCUAUCUCCUCCUGCCAGGCCCAGAAGACUGUCGGCAAACCGCCGCCCCCCCCGCCCCCGCCGCUUCGGGAGAACCGGCCCCCUGCCCUCCCCAGGCUCGCGGCACAAAGGCGGACCUCGGAGCACAUCAAGGGGAGACGCAGCUCCCGACCCGAUGCAAGUUCAGCUGCAGCUCGUGCAAAGCAGCCAGGCAAAGCUCAGCCUUAAAGGUAGAAUGUGAAGGCAAGACUCGACCGCCAGGAAGCCUCGAUUUGGGGGCAUUCUCCGAAGUCGGAGGCCAGAAUGGAUUUCGGAUGGAGAAGCAACCCAGAGGCGAGCUCCGUGAGACUAGGCCGAAGGCCGGCCCCAGCCUUUCCGCUACGGCGGAAAUCUCCUAUCCUGGGGCAAACCAACUCCUAGAAAGCACGAAGUCGAGCCAAGAGAAAGCCGGACGCUAGUCACAGGCCGGGCGCGGGCAGAGCCCCCGCCCCGGGAAUCCAGGCGGGGCUCGCAUCCGGGCCACC